Molecule: ribosomal RNA, 771 nt
Filed under: uncultured bacterium
Lineage: Bacteria
Description: bacterial SSU rRNA
Rfam family: Bacterial small subunit ribosomal RNA
Source: RNAcentral
GUACGCUGGCGGCACGCCUAACACAUGCAAGUCGAACGAAGUAGCAAUACUUAGUGGCAGACGGGUGAGUAACAUGUGGGUAUCUACCCUUUGGCCUGGAAUAACACGAGGAAACUUGUGCUAAUACCGGAUAAGUCUUUACGGAGAAAGCUUUAUGCACCAUUGGAUGAGCCCGCACUUGAUUAGUUUGUUGGUAGGGUAAUGGCCUACCAAGACUAUGAUCAAUAGCUGAUUUGAGAGGAUGAUCAGCCACAUUGGGACUGAGACACGGCCCAAACUCCUACGGGAGGCAGCAGUGGGGAAUCUUGCACAAUGGAGGAAACUCUGAUGCAGCGAUGCCGCGUGAGUGAAGAAGGCCUUUGGGUUGUAAAGCUCUUUCGUCGGGGAAGAAAAUGACUGUACCCGAAUAAGAAGGUCCGGCUAACUUCGUGCCAGCAGCCGCGGUAAUACGAAGGGACCUAGCGUAGUUCGGAAUUACUGGGCUUAAAGAGUUCGUAGGUGGUUGAAAUAGUUGGUGGUGAAAUCCCAGAGCUUAACUCUGGAACUGCCAUCAAAACUUUUCAGCUAGAGUAUGAUAGAGGAAAGCAGAAUUUCUAGUGUAGAGGUGAAAUUCGUAGAUAUUAGAAAGAAUACCAAUUGCGAAGGCAGCUUUCUGGAUCAUUACUGACACUGAGGAACGAAAGCAUGGGUAGCGAAGAGGAUUAGAUACCCUCGUAGUCCAUGCCGUAAACGAUGUGUGUUAGACGUUGGAAAUUUAUUUUCAGUGUCGCA